RNAcentral lists this transfer RNA (76 nucleotides) under Litoribrevibacter albus. Its description in RNAcentral is "tRNA-Val". It matches the Rfam family "tRNA". Rfam says of the family: Transfer RNA (tRNA) molecules are approximately 80 nucleotides in length. Lineage: Bacteria; Pseudomonadati; Pseudomonadota; Gammaproteobacteria; Oceanospirillales; Oceanospirillaceae. The record is from RNAcentral. RNAcentral also lists the same sequence under 4 other names.
GGGUGGUUAGCUCAGUUGGGAGAGCAUCGCCCUUACAAGGCGAGGGUCACAGGUUCGAGCCCUGUACCACCCACCA